RNAcentral lists this ribosomal RNA (484 nucleotides) under uncultured bacterium. Its description in RNAcentral is "partial 16S ribosomal RNA". It matches the Rfam family "Bacterial small subunit ribosomal RNA", at positions 29 to 507 of the family's 1533-position model. The record is from RNAcentral.
AUUGAACGCUGGCGGCAUGCUUUACACAUGCAAGUCGAACGGCAGCGCGGGCUUCGGCCUGGCGGCGAGUGGCGAACGGGUGAGUAAUACAUCGGAACGUGCCCAGUAGUGGAGGAUAGCUCGGCGAAAGCCGGAUUAAUACCGCAUACGACCUGAGGGUGAAAGCGGGGGAUCUUCGGACCUCGCGCUAUUGGAGCGGCCGAUGGCAGAUUAGCUAGUUGGUGGGGUAAAGGCCUACCAAGGCGACGAUCGGUAGCUGGUCUGAGAGGACGACCAGCCACACUGGAACUGAGACACGGCCCAGACUCCUACGGGAGGCAGCAGUGGGGAAUUUUGGACAAUGGGCGAAAGCCUGAUCCAGCAAUGCCGCGUGUGUGAUGAAGGCCUUCGGGUUGUAAAGCACUUUUGGCGGGAACGAAAAGGACUGUGCCAAUACCACGGUUCGAUGACGGUACCCGCAGAAUAAGCACCGGCUAACUACGUG